GUGGUUUAAAGCCUCUGCUGUCAGCUCCCCAUGUGCUGCUCCCAGGCACUGCUGGGCUGAGGUGCCUCAGAUAACAAAUAGAAGUGUCCAAGGGAUUAAGGAAGAAAAAAAAAUUACUGAAGGGUACUCAAGGGAAGAUUAGCAAUUGUGUAUUCCUCAGAGAAGCACUUCCACUGCCACUUGUCUCCUUGGGAAAAAGCCUGCUCCGAAGCCUCCAGUCACAUCUUUGAUGUAUCAGGAUUUUCACCUGUGAGCUCUCAGAUUGUGCUGAAUACUAAAGCCAGAGUUGCCUCUCCCCUUUGAGGAGAUAACCAGGCAGGAGAAGAAAGAAGAGGAGAGAGACCACGUGGAAAACAGAAGACAUGGGAUCAAAUCUCUUUUCUGAUCAACUCUGGAAGAUAGUUUCUAAAUCCCAGAAAAGAACUAUGGGUCUCAGACCAUCCUGCAAACACAUCUCUUAAAAUCUUCACCUGAAAUAAUUUCAUUUUGGAUAAAUAAAUACUCAUUGGAAGAA
Molecule: long non-coding RNA, 514 nt
Organism: Passer domesticus (house sparrow)
Lineage: Eukaryota; Metazoa; Chordata; Aves; Passeriformes; Passeridae
Exons: 3
Source: RefSeq, a predicted model, not a curated record